This 398-nucleotide ribosomal RNA is filed under the name uncultured bacterium. Its description in RNAcentral is "bacterial SSU rRNA". It matches the Rfam family "Bacterial small subunit ribosomal RNA", at positions 335 to 748 of the family's 1533-position model. The record is from RNAcentral.
ACUCCUACGGGAGGCAGCAGUGGGGAAUAUUGCACAAUGGGCGCAAGCCUGAUGCAGCAACGCCGUGUGAGUGAAGAAGGUUUUCGGAUCGUAAAACUCUGUCCUAAGGGAAGAAACAAAUGACGGUACCUUAGGAGGAAGCCCCGGCUAACUACGUGCCAGCAGCCGCGGUAAUACGUAGGGGGCAAGCGUUAUCCGGAAUCACUGGGCGUAAAGGGUGCGUAGGCGGCUUAGCAAGCCAGGGGUGAAAGGCAUUGGCUCAACCAAUGUAAGCCUUUGGAACUGUUAAGCUUGAGUGCAGGAGAGGUAAGUGGAAUUCCUAGUGUAGAGGUGAAAUUCGUAGAUAUUAGGAGGAACACCAGUGGCGAAGGCGACUUACUGGACUGUAACUGACGCUG